GCAUCGGUGGUUCAGUGGUAGAAUGCUCGCCUGCCACGCGGGCGGCCUGGGUUUGAUUCCUUUGCCGAUGCA
Cordylochernes scorpioides is the source of this 72-nucleotide non-coding RNA. Lineage: Eukaryota; Metazoa; Arthropoda; Arachnida; Pseudoscorpiones; Chernetidae. The record is from the annotation of a GenBank genome assembly.